GGGCUGCGGGCCGGGCUCUGUGGACCAGCUCCUAAUCCUCUUGUUUUCGGAACCGUCAGCAGAUGUGGCUUCUCUCAGCUGAAUAAUCCGUUAAAGGAAUAAUUUCUUAAAAGGAGAGCGACCUCACCCAAGGAGGACUGUGAAGGCGAUCAGAGCUUGUAGAUCUACUGCCUGUGACUUGGGCUGGCUGAGUCGCUGCGGACUGCACCCAGGCUCUUUUAAAAGAGAACAAAAAGAUGAAGAUGUUCGGAUGCUGGGACAAAGCACCUUGGGCUCGGUGACAAGGGACGCGCGGAGGACUGGCUCCCCAGCCCAAGAAACCGGCGCUGCCCAAGGGCAUCCAUCGGGCGUUUGGACUUCGAAGGGUAUUCCCACUCAAUUUUGUUGAUCCUUUAGACGUGCUCUGAGAGGGUCAGUGUUAGAGAGACUCUGUGUCCCCCACCCUGUGGGGGGGGGGCGCUGAAUGCGGAUCUGAUCUUUAGUCUUUUCUGCCUCUCCACCCCAUCUUCUUGAGAUAUUUAGAAAGGAGAAUUGGGAUCCGGAAGACUUAGAAAAGAGGAGCAGCUGGAUGCUGUCUGACAGACCUAGGGUACUAAUGGGGUAAGAUGAGUAAUGGGAUGGGCCAGCUGAAUGAAGGCUGUGUACCGACUCUAUCUUGCCCACCCUGGGGCACAGGAUGAGUUUUGCAGGAAUUGGGAAGGUAGGGUCUAUGUUCAUGCACAAGGUGACUGGACUUCUGUGUAAACAGAGUGGAGAGGUGGAGGAAGGCAGGGAAAGAAGGGGCUUAAAAUAAUGUCUUUUUGUCCCCACGGGUUUGGGGAUCUGUCUCUCUCUCCUCCCCUCCCCUCCUCCAUCCAGCUACAUUAUAUAGGAGUGACCUUUUAAAUCUACGCCCACCCUUUACCCAUGUAAAGCCCGUUGACAGGGACGGGGUGGGGAGACUGUAGGGGUGUUGUUCUCUCUCUCUCUCUCUCUCUCUCUCUCUCUCUCUCUCUCUCUCAUCUUUAAUAAC
This 1012-nucleotide long non-coding RNA is filed under the name Nannospalax galili (Upper Galilee mountains blind mole rat). RNAcentral's name for it is "lncRNA (ENSNGAG00000024421.1)". The record is from RNAcentral. Lineage: Eukaryota; Metazoa; Chordata; Mammalia; Rodentia; Spalacidae.